This is a long non-coding RNA of Heterocephalus glaber (naked mole-rat), 398 nucleotides long. Lineage: Eukaryota; Metazoa; Chordata; Mammalia; Rodentia; Bathyergidae. The record is from Ensembl.
UGGGCUGUGCUGUGAUGGCUGCAACAUUACCAGACAACAGAGAGUUUUCAGCUCCGCCCCAAUCUUGUGGGAACAGUGCGGGGUGUGCUCCAGCUUGGACUGCAAGAAUUUGUUCUCCUCAUGGCCCCAGGGUGCUGCUGCAGGAACACUCAGUAAGGCAAGACUGUCAACUCGCAUGGCGCUCUUCCUCAAGCCCAUGGACAUCCCUGCAGGGCCGCAGCUGUUCAGUGGCGGAGCAGGUGGUGCUUACAUCCAACCAGUCCAAGGCCAAGUCGAAGACUCACCACCACCAUCCCAUGCUCUUUCCAAAAGAACAAAACGAAACAAGACGACGACGACAGCAACAACAACAGGAAGACAUUUUCAUCCUUGGGCAUGGGAGAACACAAUACUCUUCU